Molecule: non-coding RNA, 652 nt
Organism: Jatropha curcas
Lineage: Eukaryota; Viridiplantae; Streptophyta; Magnoliopsida; Malpighiales; Euphorbiaceae
Source: RefSeq, a predicted model, not a curated record
UCUUUAUUGCAAUCACCUUCUGUGCAGUCUCCGUCUCCGCCAAAGAGUUCGUGGUCGGUGACGCUAAGGGCUGGGCUGUUGGUCCUUGCUACAAAACAUGGGCUAAAGAUAAGGCAUUCUCCAUCGGAGACGUUCUAGUAUUUAACUACAAGAAAGGUGAACACGACGUACUAAGAGUGAACAAAGAAUCUUUCGAAUCCUCAAAGAAUCUUUCGAAUCCUGCGAUGCAUCUUCUCCUCUUUCAACUAAUGACUCUGGAGAAGACAUCGUCAAUCUGAUGGAACCAGGCGAAUAUUACUUCAUAUGCGGGAAACCUGGGCAUUGCCAAGAUGGUCAGAAGCUUAGUGUCCAAGUUGCAUGAAACUGAGUGGACUCGAUCAACUUCUGAGCUUCUCCUGUCGAUGAAUAUGCAUGGGAAAUAAAUUAAUAAAACCUAUAAUAAAGAUUGUUAGUAGAAAAGAUUUAAGUUUCAAUAUGUAGACAUUGUUUGCUCCCUGGAAGACAUUGGCAAUUUUCAGCUAAAUGCCAACAAUAACACUUCGAAUGUAAUUUGUAUAUUGAGGAUCAAAUUAUGUUUUGAUGAGAAUAACUUGUAACUAUAGAAAUUACCAUCACUUUUCUAUGUAUGUUGAGAGUCUCCAAUUUUCUUCUA